UGGAGGCAGCAGUGAGGAAUCUUGCGCAAUGGCCUAACGGCUGACGCAGCGACGCCGCGUGAGGGAUGACGCUCUUCGGAGUGUAAACCUCUUUUGCCCGGGACGAAUUGCCAACUUCAGUUGGCUUGACGGUACCGGGUGAAUAAGCACCGGCUAACUCCGUGCCAGCAGCCGCGGUAAUACGGGGGGUGCGAGCGUUGUCCGGAAUCACUGGGCGUAAAGGGCGCGUAGGUGGUCUUAUAAGGGUGUGGUGAAAGCCCGGGGCUCAACCCCGGGUCGGCCGUGCCGACUGUAAGACUAGAGUGCUGUAGGGGCAGGCGGAAUUCCGGGUGUAGCGGUGGAAUGCGUAGAGAUCCGGAGGAAGACCGGUGGCGAAGGCGGCCUGCUGGGCAGUUACUGACACUGAGGCGCGACAGCGUGGGGAGCAAACAGGAUUAGAUACCCUAGUAGUCU
Molecule: ribosomal RNA, 453 nt
Filed under: uncultured bacterium
Lineage: Bacteria
Description: bacterial SSU rRNA
Rfam family: Bacterial small subunit ribosomal RNA
Source: RNAcentral